This 29-nucleotide non-coding RNA is filed under the name Cricetulus griseus (Chinese hamster). The record is from RNAcentral. Lineage: Eukaryota; Metazoa; Chordata; Mammalia; Rodentia; Cricetidae.
GCAAAAUCAUGAGGCGAGUACUCCGGAAG